GAAUUUUGGACAAUGGGGGGAACCCUGAUCCAGCCAUCCCGCGUGUGCGAUGAAGGCCGUCGGGUUGUAAAGCACAUUUGGCAGGGAAGAAAAGGAACUGGUUAAUACCCGGAGCUGCUGACGGUACCUGCAGAAUAAGCACCGGCUAACAACGUGCCAGCAGCCGCGGUAAUACGUAGGGUGCAAGCGUUAAUCGGAAUUACGGGGCGUAAAGCGGGCGCAGGCGAUUUAGGAAAAAGGAUGUGAAAUACCAGGGCUUAACCGUGGAACUGCAUUCUUAACUGCCAGGCUAGAGUAUGUCAGAGGGGGGUAGAAUUCCGCGUGUAGCAGUGAAAUGCGUAGUGAUGCGGAGGAAUACCGAUGGCGAAGGCAGCCCCCUGGGAUAAUAAUGACGCUCAUGCACGAAAGCGUGGGGAGCAAAC
Molecule: ribosomal RNA, 422 nt
Filed under: uncultured bacterium
Lineage: Bacteria
Description: partial 16S ribosomal RNA
Rfam family: Bacterial small subunit ribosomal RNA
Source: RNAcentral